UAGAGUUUGAUCCUGGCUCAGGAUGAACGCUGGCGGCGUGCCUAAUACAUGCAAGUCGAGCGAACAGAUAAGGAGCUUGCUCCUUUGACGUUAGCGGCGGACGGGUGAGUAACACGUGGAUAACCUACCUAUAAGACUGGGAUAACUUCGGGAAACCGGAGCUAAUACCGGAUAACAUAUUGAACCGCAUGGUUCAAUAGUGAAAGGCGGCUUUGCUGUCACUUAUAGAUGGAUCCGCGCCGUAUUAGCUAGUUGGUAAGGUAACGGCUUACCAAGGCAACGAUACGUAGCCGACCUGAGAGGGUGAUCGGCCACACUGGAACUGAGACACGGUCCAGACUCCUACGGGAGGCAGCAGUAGGGAAUCUUCCGCAAUGGGCGAAAGCCUGACGGAGCAACGCCGCGUGAGUGAUGAAGGUCUUCGGAUCGUAAAACUCUGUUAUCCAGGGAAGAACAAAUGUGUAAGUAACUGUGCACAUUCUGAUCG
RNAcentral lists this ribosomal RNA (487 nucleotides) under Staphylococcus warneri. RNAcentral's name for it is "bacterial SSU rRNA". It matches the Rfam family "Bacterial small subunit ribosomal RNA", at positions 1 to 475 of the family's 1533-position model. The record is from RNAcentral. Lineage: Bacteria; Bacillati; Bacillota; Bacilli; Caryophanales; Staphylococcaceae.